Molecule: ribosomal RNA, 932 nt
Filed under: Brevipalpus incognitus
Lineage: Eukaryota; Metazoa; Arthropoda; Arachnida; Trombidiformes; Tenuipalpidae
Description: partial 28S ribosomal RNA
Rfam family: Eukaryotic large subunit ribosomal RNA
Source: RNAcentral
GUGUAGCUGGAAGGAGAAUUCAGCUCUUUCGCACGGUGUUGCCGGGGCAUCAGUCUGUGGAGUAUGCUUUCAUACAGCAUCAAGAUCACCAGUAUUGGGGUAACCCGGUAUUGGCCUUGAGCUCCACGGUCUAUGGUAUGUUCCAGGAUACUCUAGGCAACAUUCGUGUGGGGAGUGCAUUUUCUCAUCUUCCGUGCUCGAGUCUCGACCAGUGUGGUGGAGUAUUGAGAGAAUACUCGUAUACAGUGAUCAUAGAAAGGUAUGCUAACACCAUACCUGAUCUACACUUGGUUAUCAAUGCUACUGUACAUCCUUGCGGUGAAUAGACUAGCAGUGAGCCGAGUUAGGCAGCUAUGAUCACAUACACACUGGACAAGAAUCUCUGCGUAUGCAGGGUCAACACAGUGCCAGGUAAGGUACUUAUGUGUGCCCGAGUAGUGUAUUCGCUAUUGAAUGCUGUUUCUGUACUCAGUGCAGGAACGAUUCAUGGUUAUACUACUCUUUGGUGGUUCACACUAGUAUAUCUUGCUUCGGUUAUCAUGACUGUUGAUGUGAUUCGGAGGCAAGUAGAUCGGUACUCUAUCCGACCCGUCUUGAAACACGGACCAAGGAGUCUUACAUGUAUGCAAGCCCGAACAGUCUUUGGAUUAGGGCUCGGUAAGGCGAAAUGAAAGAAAAUACUGGGUAUGAUGCGGUCUAUAUCUACUUCACUGUGCUCGCAAGAGUGCUCAAUGUGGAGACACCGCAAUAUACGCCCCCGGAUAAUCCUCUUUAUAGAGAUAACCGCGGAGCUAUAGUAUAUAUGUUAGACCCGAAAGAUGGUGAACUAUGCCCGGGCAGAUGAAGCCAGAGGAAACUCUGGUGGAGGUCUGUAGCGAUUCUGACGUGCAAAUCGAUCGUCAGAUCCGAUAGGGGCGAAAGACUAAUCGAAC